CAAGAGCCCGGUAAGCAUUCAAG
This 23-nucleotide microRNA is filed under the name Simian foamy virus. RNAcentral's name for it is "sfv-miR-S4-5p". Its record names the gene sfv-miR-S4-5p. Lineage: Riboviria; Pararnavirae; Artverviricota; Revtraviricetes; Ortervirales; Retroviridae. The record is from miRBase by way of RNAcentral.